CAAAAAGUAGUAUAUUUUAUUACCCCUCGUUUACACCGAGUUAAAGGUCCUACACCCUUUUUGA
This 64-nucleotide transfer RNA is filed under the name Pseudocuneopsis capitata. RNAcentral describes it as "Cuneopsis capitatus tRNA-Val". Lineage: Eukaryota; Metazoa; Mollusca; Bivalvia; Unionida; Unionidae. The record is from RNAcentral.